UACAGAGGGUGCGAGCGUUAAUCGAAAUUACUGGGCGUAAAGCGCACGUAGGCGGCUUGGUAUGUCGGGUGUGAAAUCCCCGGGCUCAACCUGGGAACUGCAUCCGAAACUGCCUUGCUCGAGUAUGGGAGAGGGAAGUGGAAUUUCCGGUGUAGCGGUGAAAUGCGUAGAUAUCGGAAGGAACAUCAGUGGCGAAGGCGACUUCCUGGACCAAUACUGACGCUCAGGUGCGAAAGCGUGGGGAGCAAACAGG
RNAcentral lists this ribosomal RNA (253 nucleotides) under uncultured bacterium. RNAcentral's name for it is "partial 16S ribosomal RNA". It matches the Rfam family "Bacterial small subunit ribosomal RNA", at positions 524 to 776 of the family's 1533-position model. The record is from RNAcentral.